RNAcentral lists this non-coding RNA (136 nucleotides) under Loigolactobacillus backii. RNAcentral's name for it is "Lactobacillus backii FMN sequence". It matches the Rfam family "FMN riboswitch aptamer (RFN element)". Rfam says of the family: The RFN element is a highly conserved domain that is found frequently in the 5'-untranslated regions of prokaryotic mRNAs that encode for flavin mononucleotide (FMN) biosynthesis and transport proteins. This element is a metabolite-dependent riboswitch that directly binds FMN in the absence of proteins. The record is from Rfam by way of RNAcentral. Lineage: Bacteria; Bacillati; Bacillota; Bacilli; Lactobacillales; Lactobacillaceae.
AGAUUUCUUCGGGGCAGGGUGAAAUUCCCGACCGACGGUGAUAACGUUUUUACGUUUAAGUCCGUGACCCGCGUUUGCGGUGGAUGCAGUGUGAAUCUGCAACCGACAGUUAAAGUCUGGAUGGGAGAAGAAAAAA